Molecule: ribosomal RNA, 459 nt
Filed under: uncultured bacterium
Lineage: Bacteria
Description: partial 16S ribosomal RNA
Rfam family: Bacterial small subunit ribosomal RNA
Source: RNAcentral
CCUACGGGAUGCAGCAGUGAGGAAUAUUGGUCAAUGGCCGGGAGACUGAACCAGCCAAGCCGCGUGAGGGAGGAAGGUGCCGAGCAUUGUAAACUUCUUUUGUCAGGGGACAAACUCAGGCACGCGCGCCUGCCCGAGUGUACUUGAAGAAAAAGCAUCGGCUAACUCCGUGCCAGCAGCCGCGGUAAUACGGGGGAUGCGAGCGUUAUCCGGAUUUAUUGGGUUUAAGGGGUGCGUAGGCGGGCUGUUAAGUCAGCGGUAAAAGCCCGGGGCUCAACCCCGGCCAGCCGUUGAAACUGGCGGUCUGGAGAUGGAGAGAGGUAUGCGGAAUGCGCGGUGUAGCGGUGAAAUGCUUAGAUAUUGCGCAGAACUCCGAUUGCGAAGGCAGCAUGCCGGCGGCGAUCUGACGCUGAGGCACGAAAGCGUGGGUAUCGAACAGGAUUAGAUACCCGGGUAGUC